AACACUCUAUAAAAGCCCCACCACCCUACCACACGCACACACAAAGCUCUUCUCCUCCUUUCGACCCUGUUCUUCUUCUGCUGGAGUUCCUCCUGGAGAGCUGAUAACCCUCGAGAAAUGCCCCGUGCUUGCCGAUGACGAAGCGCAGAAAGGGAAAAGACAGAGAGAUCGAGAAAACCCUUGUUCUGCUUCUCCUACUACUCUUGUGGAGGCAAGAAGAGAGCUGAUCGAUGGCGACGAGUUAUCCGCAUGCAGCGUCUCCUCCUCCGCAGCAGCAGCAGACAGGUACUGCUGCUGAAUCAAUCCCCAAAGAGAAAGCAGCUGUCGGAGGACGUGGUAGAAAAAAACGAAGGAUCGACCGAAACAUCGGGCAUCGAUCGCUCUGCAGGGAGCAUUUGAUUCGCCACCUCGCUUCUUGGUUAUGGAGAUCGUUCGUUGCUUCUUUCCCCUUCUUUUACAGUGUGAACCAUCUUUUUAAAUCCAUCGGAUUUAAAUGAUUCA
Molecule: long non-coding RNA, 501 nt
Organism: Musa acuminata AAA Group (dessert banana)
Lineage: Eukaryota; Viridiplantae; Streptophyta; Magnoliopsida; Zingiberales; Musaceae
Exons: 2
Source: RefSeq, a predicted model, not a curated record